Molecule: ribosomal RNA, 825 nt
Filed under: uncultured Pseudomonadota bacterium
Lineage: Bacteria; Pseudomonadati; Pseudomonadota
Description: bacterial SSU rRNA
Rfam family: Bacterial small subunit ribosomal RNA
Source: RNAcentral
UUGUAGCAAUACAACUGGCGCACGGCGCACGGGUGCGUAACACGUGGGCAAUCUGCCCUUCGAUGGGGAAUAACUCCGGGAAACCGAAGCUAAUUCCGCAUAACAUUCCUUGGACCUCGGUUCGAGGACUCAAAGCCGUAAGGCGUCGAAGGAGGAGCCCGCGCACGAUUAGCUAGUUGGUAGGGUAACGGCCUACCAAGGCUUUGAUCGUUAGCUGGUCUGAGAGGAUGGCCAGCCACACUGGAACUGAGACACGGUCCAGACUCCUACGGGAGGCAGCAGUGGGGAAUCUUGCACAAUGGGCGAAAGCCUGAUGCAGCGACGCCGCGUGGGGGAUGAAGCAUCUCGGUGUGUAAACCCCUUUCGACCCGGACGAAUGCCUCGCAAGAGGAGUGACGGUACGGGUAUAAGAAGCCCCGGCUAACUACGUGCCAGCAGCCGCGGUAAGACGUAGGGGGCCAGCGUUGUUCGGAAUUACUGGGUGUAAAGGGUCAGUAGGCGGUGUGGCAAGUCGGGAGUGAAAUCUCUGGGCUCAACCCAGAGGCUGCUUCCGAAACUGCCAUGCUAGAGUGUGGGAGAGGCGCGUGGAAUUGCAGGUGUAGCGGUGAAAUGCGUAGAUAUCUGCAGGAACACCCGUGGCGAAAGCGGCGCGCUGGACCACAACUGACGCUGAAUGACGAAAGCUAGGGGAGCAAACAGGAUUAGAUACCCUGGUAGUCCUAGCCCUAAACGAUCAGGACUUGGGGUGCCGCACGUUCGUGCGUCGUCCCGGAGCUAACGCGUUAAGUCCUGCACCUGGGGAGUACGGUCGCAAGACUGAAACUC